AUACGGAGGAUCCGAGCGUUAUCCGGAUUUAUUGGGUUUAAAGGGUGCGCAGGCGGCCAUUUAAGUCAGCGGUUAAAUCGUGGGGCUCAACCCCAUUCUGCCGUUGAUACUGGGUGGCUUGAUUGCGGUCGAGGUUGGCGGAAUUCGUUGUGUAGCGGUGAAAUGCAUAGAUAUGACGAAGAACACCGAUUGCGUAGGCAGCUGACCAGACCGCAAAUGACGCUCAUGCACGAAAGUGCGGGGAUCGAACAGGCUUAGAUACCCUGGUAGUCCGCACAGUAAACGAUGAAUACUUGUUUUCGGCGAUAUAAUGUCGGAGGCAAAGCGAAAGCGAUAAGUAUUCCACCUGGGGAGUACGCCGGCAACGGUGAAACUCAAAUGAAUGGGCGGGG
Molecule: ribosomal RNA, 392 nt
Filed under: uncultured bacterium
Lineage: Bacteria
Description: partial 16S ribosomal RNA
Rfam family: Bacterial small subunit ribosomal RNA
Source: RNAcentral